This 77-nucleotide transfer RNA is filed under the name Polynucleobacter sp. 32-46-5. RNAcentral's name for it is "tRNA-Ala". The record is from RNAcentral. Lineage: Bacteria; Pseudomonadati; Pseudomonadota; Betaproteobacteria; Burkholderiales; Burkholderiaceae.
GGGCUCGCAUGUACUAAGGGUAGCGAGAGUGCUUUGCAAGCACACUGUAGUCAGUUCGAUUCUGACCGGGUCCACCA